CAGAAGUCAUACCACACACGGUGUUCUAACAGAGGAAGGCACAUAAUAAUAAUCCUAUAACAUCGGCCUGUAUGUACUACACUUAGGUGGCACCCAAACCAUGAAUGGUGCUUUCCAAAAACCAGAGGAAGAUACAGUGUUUGCCCCAAGGAGCUUGCAUUCUAAUGGUACAGUAAGCGAGAGCUACAAUAGCGGAGGAACAGAAGAGUUGGUAGACAAAGAGUCAGAAACUGCUGCUCUCUUUCCUCCUGGCACAAGGACGUCUGCCCAGCCUUCCCCAAUACAUGACAGCAACUCAGAGAAAGAAGCAGCCAUGAGACAGAAGAGCUGCUGGGAGCUGUGAAAUAAGGAAUGCUGCUACAUGGCUGGCAAUCAUGGGGAUGCCAAAAGCUUUGGUGGUGCAAUAAGAUCACCAAUGACGGACACAGACUGAACAUCCAGACAGUCUUAAAGAUCUGUCCAAAGAUUGAUCCGGGUGGCACACAAUCUGGAAGGAAUUUAUGUUCUUUUGGGAUUUGCCAUGAUGAUGAUGAUAUCUUUCAGUGGCCUUCUCGAGGUUGCUAGUUCUUCCUUAUGCAUAAUACAUCUGAAGAUUUCCCAAGACAUGAGUCCUCAGCAGGGCUGGUCUAAUACUGCAAAAACAGUUCAUUGGAACUGCAAAGAGCUAUUUGGAUUGACCAUGUUUCUGAGUCCUUUUUAUUCGUGAUUCACAAAUGUUUGUGUAAAGGGCUUUUUAAAUUUGCAUGAACAUUUGAGGAAUGGCUGUUCUUGGCAAACAAGGUUAUUCACUCUUCAGCACUGUUACUGAGAUGGUUCAGUCAUCCAACUGAGAAGCACAAAUGAUAUACCAUGUGAUUCAAAUGACUACUCACAUUCCAAAAAUAACCAAUAGUGAAUAAUAAACUAAAUAGUUGAAGUCAACAGUUCAUGAACACCCUUUAGGCUGAAAACUGACCAAACCUAUAGAGCAGAUACUUGCAAAUAAACAAAACCAUGUGCAGAAAUCCGAAUUGGUUCAUACAGAAUCAAUUCCCAAAAAGGAAACAAGGGUUACAUGUCAACAAUUUAUUCACAACCAGCUCUAGUCAUAACUUAUGAAAACUUUCCUAGGUCUGGUAGAAAUAUUCACUAGUAUGUACUGAUCACAUGCCUCACAAACCAGAGAGAGACCAGUUUUAAAGUACGGAAUAGAGC
RNAcentral lists this long non-coding RNA (1194 nucleotides) under Chelydra serpentina (North American snapping turtle). RNAcentral describes it as "lncRNA (ENSCSRG00000000371.1)". The record is from RNAcentral. Lineage: Eukaryota; Metazoa; Chordata; Testudines; Chelydridae.